Molecule: long non-coding RNA, 1065 nt
Organism: Bubalus bubalis (water buffalo)
Lineage: Eukaryota; Metazoa; Chordata; Mammalia; Artiodactyla; Bovidae
Exons: 2
Source: RefSeq, a predicted model, not a curated record
CAGUUUCCACAUCUGAAAAAUGGGGAUGUGUGUGGAGUUUUGCUCAGUCCUGUGCGGCUCUUCGUAACUCCAGGGCCCGUAGCCCACCAGGUUCCUCUAUCUAUGAAUUUUCCAGUCCAUUUUACCACUGUGAUCAUCACAGAAGCCAUACAAGGAACGUGUCUCUAAUUAUUUUGAGGCCAGUAAAUAGAAGAUGUGAAGAGACAACAUUUCCCCUGCAGGAGCCCAGAGGAUGGAAUAGGAAAGCUUAACUGAAAUGGAAGGAGACAACCAUGCAGAGUUCAUGCUCCAAAGGAGAAAGAGCAUUGACAUUGAACCCAGCCGGCCUUUUCCUAAGAGACUGGUUUUAAGAUAUGAGAAUAAUUUAAGAAAUCCUAUAGAUUUCCUUCUAGUUAUUAUGGUAAGAAAGGAGGUAGGUGAGUGGAAACAAAUUUUAGCGAUGGAAACAUUUGGCAGGAAUAUUCCCUGGUGUCGGUUUUCAGAAACCUCAUGGUAAUGAAGUAGACACAGCAGGGUGAGGGGCCUCUAACCCUUUAUGUUCAAAUUUAUCUGUCCCUGGGGGAAGAACAGAGGCUUCUGGGACUUGAGUUGAAGAAGUAAAGAUUCAGGUAACUGCUUGGCAGACAUUUAUUAUUGAAACCACCUUCCUUCCUAUUUUACGUAUAUCUCUUAUCAAAUAGGAAACCCUAUCGCUACUGACUGUGGAAACCACUUUUCAGUUUAACUCGAUAACCUUUGCCCAGAAUCAACUCACAGUGACUUCAGUUUAGAGAUAAGAGGCUGUUGCAGUAUCUAUGAUCUCCCUUUGAAACCACACAGAGUGUUAGACUGGCACAUUUUCAUGUAGUACUCUUAGUCCAGAAUAAGCGUUUUCUCACUUUACAGUGUGACAUCUUAUUGCUAUUCUAACAGGACUGUUUCCUCUGUCUUUCGUAGUAACUUCACUGAAAUUAUCUGCUAAUUUGAGCAGUGUUAUUUUUCACCAACUGAAUUCUUAGAAUGAGUGAAUUUUUUUGCUUUAUCUCUAUUUGAAUAUUUGAUGAAUAAAAUAUUGUGGCUUGACAA